Molecule: ribosomal RNA, 425 nt
Filed under: uncultured bacterium
Lineage: Bacteria
Description: bacterial SSU rRNA
Rfam family: Bacterial small subunit ribosomal RNA
Source: RNAcentral
GUGGGGAAUCUUAGACAAUGGGGGAAACCCUGAUCUAGCCAUGCCGCGUGAGCGAUGAAGGCCUUAGGGUUGUAAAGCUCUUUCAGCUGGGAAGAUAAUGACUGUACCAGCAGAAGAAGCCCCGGCUAACUCCGUGCCAGCAGCCGCGGUAAUACGGAGGGGGCUAGCGUUGUUCGGAAUUACUGGGCGUAAAGCGCACGUAGGCGGACCGGAAAGUCAGAGGUGAAAUCCCAGGGCUCAACCUUGGAACUGCCUUUGAAACUCCUGGUCUUGAGGUCGAGAGAGGUGAGUGGAAUUCCGAGUGUAGAGGUGAAAUGCGUAGAUAUUCGGAGGAACACCAGUGGCGAAGGCGGCUCACUGGCUCGAUACUGACGCUGAGGUGCGAAAGCGUGGGGAGCAAACAGGAUUAGAUACCCGAGUAGUCC